GCUGUGCUAAGGUAGCAUAAUAACCCGCUUUUUAAUUAAAAGAUAGAAUAAAAGGACAAACGACUUAAUUAUUUUUUAACUUUUAAAUAAUAAACUUCAUUAAAGUGUUAAAAAGCAUUUAUAACCAAGAAAGACGACAAGACCCUAUAGAACUUUUAACUUCUCAGUUUUGCUGGGGCAGCAUAAAAUUAUAACUUUUCUAAAACAAACAAUCAAAAUACAGACCUGAUAAAUAUCAAAUACUAAAACAAGCUACCUUAGGGAUAACAGCGCAAUCUUGCUCCAAAGAACUAAUAAAAAGCAAGGAUUACGACCUCGAUGUUGAAUUAAUUUUAACUCCAUUUAGUAAAAAAGAUAAGAGCAAGUCUGUUCGACUUUUAAAAAAUUACAUGAUUUGAGUUCAGACCGGUGUAAACCAGGUCAGAUUUUAUCCUCUUUACUUUAAUUACAGUACGAAAGGACCUAAUUAUAUAUUACA
RNAcentral lists this ribosomal RNA (478 nucleotides) under Loxosceles caribbaea. Its description in RNAcentral is "partial 16S ribosomal RNA". The stretch from base 128 to 436 matches the Rfam family "Bacterial large subunit ribosomal RNA", at positions 2074 to 2646 of the family's 2925-position model. The record is from RNAcentral. Lineage: Eukaryota; Metazoa; Arthropoda; Arachnida; Araneae; Sicariidae.